GAUGAACGCUGGCGGCGUGCCUAACACGUGCAAGUCGAACGGAGAUUACGGACGGAAGUUUUCGGAUGGAAGCCUGUAAUUCUUAGUGGCGGACGGGUGAGUAACGCGUGGGCAACCUGCCCUAUACAGGGGGAUAGCAGCUGGAAACGGCUGGUAAGACCGCAUAAGUCGGUUAAAUCGCAUGAUUUGAUCGGGAAAUGAGCAAUCAGGUAUAGGAUGGGCCCGCGUCCGAUUAGCCAGUUGGCAGGGUAAAAGCCUACCAAAGCGACGAUCGGUAGCCGGACUGAGAGGUCGGACGGCCACAUUGGGACUGAGACACGGCCCAAACUCCUACGGGAGGCAGCAGUGGGGGAUAUUGCACAAUGGAGGAAACUCUGAUGCAGCGACGCCGCGUGAGUGAAGAAGUAUUUCGGUAUGUAAAGCUCUAUCAGCAGGGAAGAUGAUGACGGUACCUGACUAAGAAGCCCCGGCCAACUACGUG
Molecule: ribosomal RNA, 481 nt
Filed under: uncultured bacterium
Lineage: Bacteria
Description: partial 16S ribosomal RNA
Rfam family: Bacterial small subunit ribosomal RNA
Source: RNAcentral